CAAACUUCUUUAAAAAAUUUGGCAUAUGAUGGAUUUUUCUUGAUCGCAUCCAGCAAUGGAAUGUUGAUUUGAACUUUGGAUAAUGUCUGCAUAAAGUCCUUGAGUUGCUGAUCCCUUGCUUUAGGAAUUACACGGUUAGGAUAGGGCAGUGGAGGGUCAUAAACACGCUGUAAAACCUGUUUUGGGAUAGUUUCGGGAUUUGCCAGAUUAUGUUUUUCUGCAGUUUUGGCAGGUUAUGCUGCUGCAAAAUUGUCUACAUUAUUCUCC
Molecule: long non-coding RNA, 267 nt
Filed under: Prunus persica (peach)
Lineage: Eukaryota; Viridiplantae; Streptophyta; Magnoliopsida; Rosales; Rosaceae
Description: long non-coding RNA (PPER_LNC002011)
Source: RNAcentral